GCCUUCGUGGUGUAGUGGUCAGCCCGCUUGACGCAUAUUCGAGAUGUUUGUGGUUCGAGUCCCGGCGAAGACA
Molecule: transfer RNA, 73 nt
Filed under: Stegodyphus mimosarum
Lineage: Eukaryota; Metazoa; Arthropoda; Arachnida; Araneae; Eresidae
Rfam family: tRNA
About the family: Transfer RNA (tRNA) molecules are approximately 80 nucleotides in length. Their secondary structure includes four short double-helical elements and three loops (D, anti-codon, and T loops).
Source: Rfam by way of RNAcentral